Sciurus vulgaris (Eurasian red squirrel) is the source of this 84-nucleotide small nuclear RNA. The record is from Ensembl. Lineage: Eukaryota; Metazoa; Chordata; Mammalia; Rodentia; Sciuridae.
GUACUCAAUUCGACAGCGCAUAUACUAUUGAUACAGAGAAAAUUAGCAUGACCCCUGCACAAGGAUGAAGCGUUCCAUAUUUUU